UGGGGAAUAUUGCACAAUGGGGGAAACCCUGAUGCAGCGACGCCGCGUGAAGGAAGAAGUAUUUCGGUAUGUAAACUUCUAUCAGCAGGGAAGAAGAUGACGGUACCUGACUAAGAAGCCCCGGCUAACUACGUGCCAGCAGCCGCGGUAAUACGUAGGGGGCAAGCGUUAUCCGGAUUUACUGGGUGUAAAGGGAGCGUAGACGGAGCAGCAAGUCUGAUGUGAAAGACCGGGGCUUAACCCCGGGCCUGCAUUGGAAACUGUUGAUCUUGAGUGCCGGAGGGGUAAGCGGAAUUCCUGGUGUAGCGGUGAAAUGCGUAGAUAUCAGGAGGAACACCGGUGGCGAAGGCGGCUUACUGGACGGCAACUGACGUUGAGGCUCGAAAGCGUGGGGAGCAAACAGGAUUAGAUACC
Molecule: ribosomal RNA, 414 nt
Filed under: uncultured bacterium
Lineage: Bacteria
Description: bacterial SSU rRNA
Rfam family: Bacterial small subunit ribosomal RNA
Source: RNAcentral